CCUACGGGUGGCAGCAGUGGGGGAUAUUGCACAAUGGGGGAAACCCUGAUGCAGCGACGCCGCGUGAGUGAAGAAGUAUUUCGGUAUGUAAAGCUCUAUCAGCAGGGAAGAAAAAAGACGGUACCUGACUAAGAAGCCCCGGCUAACUACGUGCCAGCAGCCGCGGUAAUACGUAGGGGGCAAGCGUUAUCCGGAUUUACUGGGUGUAAAGGGAGCGUAGACGGCAAUACAAGUCGGAAGUGAAAUACCCGGGCUCAACCUGGGAACUGCUUUGGAAACUGUAUGGCUAGAGUGCUGGAGAGGUAAGCGGAAUUCCUAGUGUAGCGGUGAAAUGCAUAGAUAUCACGCAGAACUCCGAUUGCGAAGGCAGCAUACCGGCGCCCGACUGACGCUGAAGCACGAAAGCGUGGGUAUCGAACAGGAUUAGAUACCCGAGUAGUC
Molecule: ribosomal RNA, 441 nt
Filed under: uncultured bacterium
Lineage: Bacteria
Description: partial 16S ribosomal RNA
Rfam family: Bacterial small subunit ribosomal RNA
Source: RNAcentral